CUUGGUUCAGGAUGAACGCUAGCGACAGGCCUAACACAUGCAAGUCGAGGGGCAGCACAAGGAGCAAUCUGAGGUGGCGACCGGCGCACGGGUGAGUAACACGUAUGCAACCUGCCUGUAAGCGGGGAAUAACCCGUUGAAAGACGGACUAAUACCGCAUAAUACUAAAUUACUGCAUGGUAAUUUAUUUAAACAUUUUAUGGCUUACAGAUGGGCAUGCGCAUGAUUAGCUAGUUGGAGAGGUAACGGCUCCCCAAGGCAACGAUCAUUAGGGGUUCUGAGAGGAAGGUCCCCCACACUGGUACUGAGACACGGACCAGACUCCUACGGGAGGCAGCAGUGAGGAAUAUUGGUCAAUGGACGAGAGUCUGAACCAGCCAAGUCGCGUGCAGGAAGAAUGUUACCCUAUGGAUUGUAAACUGUCUUUUGCGAAGGGGAAUAAAGUGCAUCACGUGUGAUGUUUUGUAUGUACUCUGCGAAUAAGGAUCGGCUAACUCCGUGCCAGCCGCAGC
This 512-nucleotide ribosomal RNA is filed under the name uncultured bacterium. RNAcentral's name for it is "bacterial SSU rRNA". It matches the Rfam family "Bacterial small subunit ribosomal RNA", at positions 18 to 518 of the family's 1533-position model. The record is from RNAcentral.